UAUAUAUUAGUUUAAAAAAAACGAUAAAUUGCAAAUUUAUUAAUAUAUAUAUAUAUAUAUAUAUAU
This 66-nucleotide transfer RNA is filed under the name Tamarixia radiata. RNAcentral describes it as "tRNA-Cys". Lineage: Eukaryota; Metazoa; Arthropoda; Insecta; Hymenoptera; Eulophidae. The record is from RNAcentral.